GGGAGUUUGGCCGAGUGGUUAAGGCGUCGUGUUUAGGUCUUGUCGGGUGAGCCCGGUGAACUUAAAAUCCCGCGAUGGGAAACCGCGCAGGUUCGAAUCCUGCAGCUCUCA
Molecule: non-coding RNA, 111 nt
Organism: Xylaria intraflava
Lineage: Eukaryota; Fungi; Ascomycota; Sordariomycetes; Xylariales; Xylariaceae
Source: the annotation of a GenBank genome assembly